UCGUUUUCAAUAUGUAAUAUCACACAAUUGCUUAAGAUAAGGGCAGCAGUUGGUAACUUUUAAAACGUUUAGACCCGCUACAAUUGUUUGCACCGGUCUCAAGUCAUAAUUUGGAUGUUUUUUUUAUUGUCGUUUGUUGAUGUUGUUGAUAAGUGUUUCUCGUUUCUCGUUUUUUUUUUAUUUAGAUUAUACCGUUGUUUUCCCGUUUGAUUGGUUUUAUAUAAGUCAUUUUUGGGGCCCUUUAUGGCUCCGUGUUGAAGAUCGUACUUUGAAAUACAAUAGUUUACUUUUGCAAAUUGUGGCUUUAAUGGCUUUAAUGCGAAAGUUGUCUCAUUGGCACUCAUACCACACUUUCAUAUAUCUAUAUAAAAUAUAAACUGU
RNAcentral lists this long non-coding RNA (381 nucleotides) under Mytilus galloprovincialis (Mediterranean mussel). The record is from RNAcentral. Lineage: Eukaryota; Metazoa; Mollusca; Bivalvia; Mytilida; Mytilidae.